GCAAUUAUUAGCAUAAUCACUAAAUUAACUGACGAAAUAUAGCUAAAAGAAUUAUCUAAGCAAACAAUAGAAGAAGACUGGCUUAUUUUUCUGUUCAAUCUCGACUCAAACUUUAAGUCUUUGAACAAAAGCCAAACUAUAGCUUCUUCUCCAGUGCUUAAGAUUUGCUAAACGAACUCGGUUGCACAUUAGAAUAUUACUUAUAAAGUGUCGAAAAUAGGUUAAGAACUACAAAAAUGCCUUAAAGCACCACUAAAGUAAACAAAAGAUGCACCCAAAACAAUCUAAUGUGUGUGGCCACUUGCAGUAACUAAUAGGCUAAUAACUCUUACAUGCCACUAUAACAUUCCUCUGAUAAGAGCAUCAAUAAUUACAACGAACACUGCAAAUACGCAUACAAAUACUAAGACUCCAUUUCACUGGGCUUUACUGUCUCACAUCAAGAAUUAAAGUUCACCAUUCCUCCCUUGACGAUCAUACGCUUGUCAUGGACUAGUAAGGCUUUGAUUUUAUCACUCGAGAUAGAAUCUGAUCUCAAAUCUACACCAAUUGAAAUGUUUUGAUGUUUCCAAAUUGCUCUUGCCCUCUUAAUUUAGGCCCUUAGGGAUGGGCGCCGGCAGGGCAGCACUCCCCGUCCCUGUCCCUGGUGGAAAUUUCCUGUCCCAGCCCGCUUAAGAGAGACGGGCCCACGGGGAUCACCCAUACCCCGCCGACUGUUCCAGUUAACCUUUUUUAAUUCUUUUUACAGCAAUAGCUCCACAAAUCCCCAAAACUGAAACUAAACUCAUUUUAACGUCAGAAAUUUCAAUUCUAAUCCUCUACAUACACAAACCCUAGAAAUAAAAAUACCCUUCGGACAAAAAAAAAAAAAAAAAAAAAACUCAAAGAAGCAGGAACAAAAAAGAAGAAGGAAGAAAUAGCUCCAGUCACUGUUUAAAAAAAAGGAACUUAGAACUCACACAUUUAACAUUUUUUUACCUUUUAAACUGGAGAGGAGACUAUGGGAGCAAGAGAUUCUGUGGGGAACGUGGUGAAAGAGUGAGAGUUGAACCACCGAUGGAGGACACAAGCACGGUGGAGACCCAGUAGACGGACUGAAGAUUGGAAUUGGAAUUAGAGAUGCUUGCACAGGGGCUUAUGCACAGGCCCUGAGGGGUCCACCCCCAUGUCUCAGGGCCUGUGCACACCCUGCGCACAGGCCUCUGUGCAAGCAGAAAUAUUGUUAGAGUAGUGUGUGACUGUGUUUGUGUAACUGUUUGAGGAGCGUGAGGAUUGGUUAUUGGGCUUGGGUUUCUGGGUUAGGGUUAGGCUUAGGAAGCUGGCAGACAAAUUUAUUUUGAAUUUUACUCAGUGUGUUUGAUGGCAAAC
RNAcentral lists this long non-coding RNA (1368 nucleotides) under Olea europaea subsp. europaea. The record is from RNAcentral. Lineage: Eukaryota; Viridiplantae; Streptophyta; Magnoliopsida; Lamiales; Oleaceae.